GAUGAACGCUGGCGGCGUGCCUAAUACAUGCAAGUCGAGCGAAGCGGGGACGGGUGAGUAACACGUGGAUAACCUCCUAUAAGGCUGGGAUAACUUCGGGAAACCGGAACUAAACCGGCUACUUAUAGAUGGAUCCGCGCUGCAUUAGCUAGUUGGUAAGGUAACGGCUUCCCAAGGCAACGAUGCAUAGCCGACCUGAGAGGGUGAUCGGCCACACUGGAACUGAGACACGGUCCAGACUCCUACGUGAGGCAGCAGUAGGUAAUUUUCCGCAAUGGGCGAAAGCCUGACGGAGCAACGCCGCGUGAGUGACGAAGGUCUUCGGAUCGUAAAACUCUGUGAUGAGGGAAACGGUACCUAACAAGAAAGCCCCGGCUAACUACGUGCCAGCAGCCGCGGUAAUUC
RNAcentral lists this ribosomal RNA (405 nucleotides) under uncultured bacterium. RNAcentral's name for it is "partial 16S ribosomal RNA". It matches the Rfam family "Bacterial small subunit ribosomal RNA", at positions 28 to 526 of the family's 1533-position model. The record is from RNAcentral.